UUUCCGUAGGUGAACCUGCGCGAAGGAUCAUUGUCGAAAGCCUCGUAGUAGAAAGACUUGUUAACCCGUAAAACUCCGGCGCAGCAGCGCCAAGGAUUUUCAUAAUGAGAAUGCAACCUCGUAGAGCUUUAUUUCGCUGCUUGUGGGGUUGGCAUCCUUUUAACUAAAUGACUCUCGGCAAUGGAUAUCUUGGCUCUUGCAUCGAUGAAGAACGUAGCGAAAUGCGAUACUUGGUGUGAAUUGCAGAAUCCCGUGAACCAUCGAAACUUUGAACGCAAGUUGCGCCUCAAGCCAUUAGGUUGAGGGCACCGUUUGCUUGGGUGUCAUUCGUUAUGUCUCCCCUCUUGUGUGGUGUGGGAGCAGAUUGUGGCCUCCUGGGCCCUUCCUUGGGUGUGGUUGGCUGAAAAUGUUGUCCUUGAUUUUGUUGAUGUCUUGGUGUGCGGUGGAUGUACCAAGUGUGCAUAAUUGCCAGCCUUGCUUGACUUCGUUGUGGCCUUUUGAUCCUUAGAAGCUGUCGGUGUGGGCUCUUUGAUUGCGACCCCAAGUCAGGCGAGACUACCCGCUGAGUUUAA
RNAcentral lists this ribosomal RNA (572 nucleotides) under Cuscuta glomerata. RNAcentral's name for it is "eukaryotic LSU rRNA". The stretch from base 170 to 326 matches the Rfam family "5.8S ribosomal RNA". RNAcentral also lists the same sequence under 1 other name. The record is from RNAcentral. Lineage: Eukaryota; Viridiplantae; Streptophyta; Magnoliopsida; Solanales; Convolvulaceae.